Molecule: long non-coding RNA, 533 nt
Organism: Helianthus annuus (common sunflower)
Lineage: Eukaryota; Viridiplantae; Streptophyta; Magnoliopsida; Asterales; Asteraceae
Exons: 2
Source: RefSeq, a predicted model, not a curated record
AAUGUUUAGUUUCUCGUGCAACCGCCUUUAGCGGAAAAACUUAUAACAACACGUCAUUACCUCAUCUAUUAGCCGUCAGAUGAUCAUCUUAUAGUUGAAUCUCAUCCGUCCAUCAUUAACCAUCUCCUCUAUAAAUAUUCAACCACGAUAUGCUUUGUUUUUCAUCUCGCGAACACACGUUCACAACUUUGAUCGGACAGAUGUCCAUGUGAUCGAUCGGCGAUUAUGCAGGAAGCCAAGCCGAUGGUUUUAACGCGAGUUGUUGAUUGCGGUAUUGAAGGGUUUCUGCCAACAGAAUUGUCGAUACUGAUUAAAUUUGACUUGAACUGGAACAUAUUGUUGAUGUACUGAUGAGAACUGAAGUAAAGUUAUUGGCAACCAGGUUUGUAUGUAGGGUAUGCAAUCAGAAGUUACGGAUCUUGUUAUUAGUAUGUAUGAUGUCCUAUUACACCUUGUUGUUGUUACUUUGACCUUUGCCAUGUUGGGUGCGCUCGCAUGGCAGGUCGCCUAUCUUAAUAAAAAAUCCUGUUUUU